Molecule: non-coding RNA, 4553 nt
Organism: Rhopilema esculentum
Lineage: Eukaryota; Metazoa; Cnidaria; Scyphozoa; Rhizostomeae; Rhizostomatidae
Source: RefSeq, a predicted model, not a curated record
UCUACAAUGAAAACAUAUUCCAGUUACUCUGUUGUUCGCUACGAAGGUAUGUCUCUUCAAGGAAAGUGUUUCUUGAAUCUAAAGAAAAAUUAGGGCAAUGUUGCUUAAGAAAGUAUGCAAAUAGCGGGUUUUGGAAAAGCUAAGGUGGAAAGCUUUGGGAAUUUUUUUUUUGAAUGUGUGAUAAUGAUUAAUCGGGCUGCAGAUCAAAUCAAAUCAAAUGACCGGGAAUGGUGAGUUUGAAUAUCAAAAGCCUUACAAAAAAUAUGUUUCACAGCAAUUGCGUAACAGACUUGCGAAUGAUCCCGAAAUUAAAUGCUGAAUGCAGGAUUUCUUUUACUCCUGGCCAUGAAAGUUUGAUAUGAUACCCUGCAGACAGCUCGUGAUUAAGAAAGGCCGUGAAACAAACAAUAUCUUAAGCAUGGCAACAGCUAAUUGUUAAAUGUUAUUAAACGGAUGUUAUUAAAUGUUAUUGUUAAAUGAAUUGUGUAUCUGCCGUUCACGAGCAAAAAAAAGCAGAAACUUUUCUAGGAGUUUUGAAACAAAAUUAGAGUCAACUAUUUUGAUAAAUCCAGAACAAAACUGAACGAAGCAAAAACAAACAAAAAACAACCAUUAGGACUUUAUCGCCAACACGCAAGCGCCCAUCGGCUGCAGCUGGCCCAUUCUCUGCAAUUUUGCUUAUGAAAAUACCCUGAAAUUGCAUGAAAAGAAAACAGCGGUGAAGGGCAAGCAACAAUUAAGAAACGAAGAGGUACUGCGACAAAAAAAUGAUAAGGGAAUGCAACGGGAAAUGCGCAUCAGAAGUGCAUUAUCUAUUUAAGAGACAACAGAAAUCGUUGGCGAUUGAUGCCUUAUCAUAAUGUGAAACAUUCAGCAAAUAAAAAUCCAGAAAAGCUUGUUUUGUGAAAAAACGUUUUCUAAAUCUUCACUUGGUUCAUAGCUUGGAUUAUCAUUCGCUUGCAAAGGUUCAUCAUGUCAAGAAAUUCAUAAUCGUAAAUAUGACAUAUAAUGUAUCAAUAUUGUUUAUUCAAACACUAGAGAACAGUGAUAUAUCACUCUUUCAAUCACCCUAAAAAAACAAACUUAAUAUUGAAAAUCAUGACAAGAUCCAAGAUAAGACAAUCAACUUGAUGCCUUGAUGCCUUAACAAUACGUCUACAGGACGGCUUAUGUGGGAUUCACAAGAUCAAAUUCGGCAAGCAGCAAAAUUGUCUAUCUUUAAGGCAAUAUAUCUCGUUUAGCAUCAAUGCAGUUUAACAAGAUUCAGCUAUAGCAUCAUAAAUACUUACGUAUCAAUACCUUUAAGUAAUCGAUAUACCUGUGUGCUAAAAGUCUUACUUAGUCAUGAUUACGAUUUCAAACAAAAGGGCAGAGAGGUGAUGCUUUGCAUGCAUGCUUCAUCAAUCUAUAUUGUUUUCAUAUCGAUGCUAGUUGCAAUCAUAGUUAACAAGAAAAGGUGUUUUGCAGAUGGAUAGAUGAAGAACAGUUAAACAUAGAUGAAAGACGUAAGCGGUGACCAAAUCCUGAAUAAUUUAAAGGACCGCAAGCGUGACUAUCCUGCACUGGUGCUUAAGAAGAUCCAGCCAUCUUUGUGAUGAAAUACGCUCGAAAAGUAGCACGAGGAGAAAGCAGCCUUCAAAUUGAAUAUGAUUUCCAUAAAAAGCAGCCUUUAAAUUGAAUAUGAUUUCCAUAAAAAGCAGCCUUCAAAUUGAAUAUUAUUUUCAUAAAAAGGUGUUCUCUCUUCACCAUCCACAGUCAAAUCCGUUUACAAAUUCCAGACUUACCCUUAAUCAAUUUAAACAAUUAAGCUUCUGUCUAGCUUCGACAUGUGAGAUCUUUAUCUUAUAAUUACAGACAUUGUCAAUUUGGUUGAAAUCUGCUCAAUUUUCUAUGUGCUUUAUUUAUCACUUAGAAAAGCAUCCAAAACUUUUUGAGCUUUAAAUGAUUUUGAAAUUUCAUGAACUUUUUGUCAAACCAUCCCAAACUUCAAAUUUUCAUGGCUAACGCUUAACUAUCUACUAAAACCCUUAAAAAAGGUGCUUUGAAAAUAAUUAAAAGUUAUAUAUCUCGAAGAAAUUUAAUAAAACACGUACUGGGUCACUCCCUUUAAAUGGAGUUGAACCAAAUCCUCCAGCUAUGCUGAAACCGAGGCCACGCCCGUCUCGUUUCAGGUCCACAGUCAGUGUCUGAAACGAAACCCAAUUCAACGAUUAGCAAUAAUUACUUCAGAAAGCCAAUGCUUUGCAAACAACCUUUAACAUUUAAAAGCGAGACAAAUAAAUUAAACAUACAAGUUGCGAUCAAUGGAUCUAGUUUGACUAGGUGAUCACGGGAACUAUCAAAUCUUUAUAAGUGCCAUGAGAAAGUUCCCUGUGAUACGAAAGCCCAUGUAAUUAAGGGGCUAAACGUUGUUGGAACAUUACAAUUAAUCGCAUGUAAGCCCAACAAAAUCUCUAGUAUAUUUGUAGCCAUACUGAGCAGCUCUAUUCAACAUUAACUUGCAGGGCAUUUUCCGUAGGUUUUUAUACACCUGUUCAUUCCAAACACGUUGUGAAACAGCCUGUUCAUUAAACCAACUUUUCUCGAAAAAUCAACAACAUAAUUGCCAGUUAUAUAUCUCUGAAUCUUUCAAAAGUAAACCUUGUCUUGAAAAGUGAGAUCUGCAUCUGGGAGGGAUGUUUGCUUGUUUAUAUGGAGUGAUUUAGGUUUCAUAAGGAGGGCUCGGAGGGUGAAAAGAAAGACUGUGAUGUUCACAAAGAUGGCUGUAAGGUUGGCUGUGAGGGAACGAGGUUCACCAGAACCGCUAGAAUGCUCAGAGGAAAGGCUGCGAUGAUUAGAAAAAUGGAUAGAACAUUGGCAAUAAUCUUAGGGUAUAAUGUUCAUUAUAGGGUACAAGGUAUAAGGUAUAAAAGGUGGGAGGUCCACAAAGAGAGCAACGAUGUUCGCUUUGCCAUAUCGAUGUUUGCUUUGCCAUAUCGAUGUUUGCUUUGCCAUGUCGAUGUUUGCUUUGCCAUGUCGAUGUUCGCUUUGCCAUGUCGAUGUUCGCUUGUCAUAUCUAACCUGACACAACAGCUGUUAAAAGGGCCGGAUCAUCUCGUCCAACCGCCACGUGGGAUUAGCCGAUCAGCUCUCAAAUAAAUCCGUUAAAAUACGAUUACUCUUAAAAUAAACACAUCAAAACUGAUUUAAUUUGAUCAAGAACUCACUUCUGUAGCUACUUCAAUCUCUUCCAUUUCCGGUUCAGGUGCAAAGCGCACGUUUUUCUCUUCCCUUUGUGCCUAAAAACAUAAACUACUUUUAGAAGCCUUAGAUUUGCCACCAUAAACAAGAGUAUUUGUCGGCCUUGUAAAAAACUAUGACAUCAUUCAAGGGCAAGCAUUCAAGGUUUAAUUUUACCCAAACAAACGUCUUCACUUGUACAUCAGUAGGGCAAUGGCUUUAUCUUUUAAGCCUUCGUGUGACACAAAAGGACACUGGAGUUUUACCUGCCUCAAAAAUUUAAGUAGUCUUUAUUCACCUGAAGCGCAGUUUGAAUUGCAUCUUCAUCUGUGAUUUCCCUUAAAACUAUAAGAGUCACCUCUUUGCCUGCAUUUUUUAGUGUCAUCACCGCCUCGUAAUGACUCAUUUCUGAAACAUCGACCUCGUUCACCUGCAAAUGGGAAAAACAACCUUGGUUGUUCCAUAACAAAUCAAUGAUUUUUAACUACACUCCAAUUUCAAGACAGUCUAUUCAUGACUUUCUUAUUCAUAAAAAGUUUAGUACCUCAAAAGAUUCACCAAAAUUGUAAAUCUAAUUGGAAUUUAAAUACUCCACAAAAAAAACCAAACCUUGACAAUUUUGUCACCAAUUUGAAGGAUUCCUUCCUGGUCAGCCGGCCCACCCUCUGAUAUCUUCGAUAUAAAUAUACCCUGAAAAUGAAAUUAGAAAUUAACACUUUAUAAUAUUAUAUUUCCAAUUUACCUAUUAUCGAAACUGUAGUUAUUACUAGCAAUAAAUGACCCUUUCAACUGUAAUCUUUCAACUGUAACUCAGAAACUUCUUCUCCCAAAGUACAGUGAUGCAAAUUACAAGGCAUUGACUAUACAAUUUUUAAAUAUGUUUGUCAAAAUAAUUGUAUCUUCAAACUGCUCUCGACUAUUAUCCAUUCGGAUCUUCUCCUUCUGUACUAAUUGUUCACGUUGGUUGGCAAAUGGGCUUGACUGAAACAGGUUCGUAAAUAUUAAGUGUUAUGAUAUUGUGUGUCAUAUUGUUUUCAAUUCUGUGCAUGAAAAUAAGAUUUCAUUCGUGAAUCACGAAUUUCGAGGCCUGAAUCCAUAUUUUGGGGAUUAAAACAAGCCAUUUUCAGUAUAGUAUCAGUCACAAUACUCGCUUCGCAGGCGGGACGUAAUUGUGCAAAUGAGCGCAAGGACUGAACAAUUCCAGUCUCCUCUUUAUCCACAUUGCUUAUCCUGCUGUCCAUAAUACGUCCUCCUGCGAAAUCCAUUUUUGGCAUCUAAGACCUAUUAGGAUUAUCUUAUAUUACACAACUUAGGGUUGGUCUCAGCAAACUGAA